Molecule: ribosomal RNA, 429 nt
Filed under: Bacteroidota bacterium
Lineage: Bacteria; Pseudomonadati; Bacteroidota
Description: Bacteroidetes bacterium partial 16S ribosomal RNA
Rfam family: Bacterial small subunit ribosomal RNA
Source: RNAcentral
UAGGGAAUCUUCCGCAAUGGACGCAAGUCUGACGGAGCAACGCCGCGUGAGUGAAGAAGGAUUUCGGUUCGUAAAACUCUGUUGUUAGAGAAGAACAGCGCAUAGAGUAACUGUUAUGCGUGUGACGGUAUCUAACCAGAAAGCCACGGCUAACUACGUGCCAGCAGCCGAGGUAAUACGUAGGUGGCAAGCGUUGUCCGGAUUUAUUGGGCGUAAAGCGAGCGCAGGCGGUCAAUUAAGUCUGAUGUGAAAGCCCCCGGCUCAACCGGGGAGGGUCAUUGGAAACUGGUUGACUUGAGUGCAGAAGAGGAGAGUGGAAUUCCAUGUGUAGCGGUGAAAUGCGUAGAUAUAUGGAGGAACACCAGUGGCGAAGGCGACUCUCUGGUCUGUAACUGACGCUGAGGUUCGAAAGCGUGGGUAGCAAACAGG